UUUUUUUUCUUUUUUUUUUUGGAAAGGAAAAAAAGGAAAUGGCAGAAACGAAGGGAGGUUGGGUCAGGGUAAACAUUAAGGAUAUUUUCUAAUUCUACUCCACUAAAUUACAUCAUGCAGGGGCUGAUAUGUUGAUCUUUUCUUUACUGUAAUAAACGACAUUAACAUAUUUUUUUUAAAUAAUGCAAGCAUGAUAAAAAUUAAAUUAUGAUUCUCCAUGGCUGGUAAGACAAAUUAAUAAAAUACGGUUAAGAGUUCUUUAUGAAAUCUUGAAAAUGUAACGUUUUCUUUAAAUUUAUAAAAGAGAAAACAGUUGAGCUGUUUGGCUUCUAAACUAGAGAUGAUUCAUCUAAAGGGGAAAAAAAAACUUUACAUUUAAGCUCCUUUUGUUUCAAAAAUAACAACUUAUCUUUGAAAGCAUCAAAAAUAUUAAACUACUUUUCAUUUUUUGUUUGUAACACUAAAAUUAAUUGGAAUUUAGUCUGUGGCAUUUGGAUUGCACUGGAAAAUAUGUAAUUUCCUAGAUGCGGAAGACCUUGAACUUUUGAAUCUAUGAAAACUCUACGUUUGGAAUCUUAGAUUUAGGACAAUGUACAAAAAAAGCACAACAGUUGGAGACCUAUGAUUCAAUUUUUGACAAAACAAUAUUCUAUGCUUUACUCUGCUAGCACAAUAAGGACAUGCUAUUUCGUCAUCAAUCAUGCUGAUGUGGUGCUGCGAGUCUAAUAAAAAAAUAUUUUUUAAUAUGCUUGGAUCCCACAGAUAAUAUGAAAUUUUUAAAAAAAUAAAAUUUUGAAUUAACAAUUUUUUAAAUAAAAUAAAAAAAAAAUCAUUUUAUUGAUUGCACGAUGAGAUAACACGUGUCCUUAAAGUUCCAAGGAUAUAAAGAUUAAUAUAUCAUUUUGUUAAAAAUUGAACCACAUGCCUUAGAAGUGUCAAAGCACAAACUCAAGGGUUUUUUCGUACUUUCCCCCUUAGUUUUUUAUCUACUUGAAUAGUAAAGAAUGCUACACAAGGAACUGAGAAAACAGGGUAGGUGGCAACGUCCACUGCAAUUGGACAUGAACAGCACAGUACUGCGUUGUACCAAGUGAUGCGUGCAUGCAAAGUGUCUCUUGUGAAUUUCUUGAAAAAUGGCUUAGGUUUUCUUUGCCUAGGAUGGAGUUUCUAUCGACUAAAUCACAUGUAUAUGACAAAAAUUAGAAAAAGAAAAGAUGUUAUAGGGGAAAAUAUUUCCCACGGGUCAAAUGAAGCCUAAAUAGCAUACAACUAAGAAAGAUUAAAAGGGCAAGAGCUAUCUCAGGAAGAUAUCCAUGCACUGAUUGCAUAGAGCCACACAUGGAGAAAUGCUGAAUGGAAUAAGAAAAUUCCAAUUUUCUGAGAGACGAGGAAAAUGAAAAUUCAGAAAAAGGUACAAACAAGAUAGAUUCAAUGAAAUAUCUCAAACUUGCCUCCACAGCCAUUGGCCUUCAAAGAACAAUGACAGAUGGAAAUUAAUGUAAAUGCCAAAAAAUUCAUCACUUUGCAGAAUGCACCAUGUAUCAAUCAACAUGAGCCUUAAUUAUGGUUAGUUAGCAAUAUAGAGUUGUAUUUGAUUACUUUAGCUAAAAUAAUUGCUACAUUGGGCUGUGACCUUGGACUACUUGAAAUGAACUUUCUUAAAUUUCAUCACUAUUUCUUAAUUUUCAAGAAGAGAAUUUAACGUCUAAAAGAAAAACAUUCAUCUGAUUAUAUAGGACUUCUUUGUUAUCCAUCAUGUUUUUGGUUUUUUUUGUCCGACUCCGACAUUCAAAAAAUUUUAUAUUAGAACAUUUUUGUUUUUAUUACUUGUUGUCUUUAUAAGAAAAAGGAAAGGUUGCUACAAGGAUAAACCACAAAAUGGUACUAACUUGUUUCAUCAACUCAUUUUUCAAGAUGCAAUUUCUUAGCACUGGAUGGGCAACUAAAAACCAAAAACAUGGAUACAAAAUAGCUCUUAACAACUCUCAAUAGGCAAACACACAAAUUUUAUAUGUUCCUUUCUUCUCCCACAAUAGUCCUUUAUUUGCAAGUUGGGAUCUGUGCUACCAGAAAACACUGCACUCCCUAAUGAUUUGCAUUCUGGAAUGUGCGAUCCAGAUUAUGGAUCAUUAUAGAUUUGGAACAUUAAAAUUAGGUUCCCAAAAUGCAAACAACUAUUAUUAGAGAAUCAAACAAUCUGAGUCACACAAAUCUCAGACAAUGUUGGUGUGAUCAUUAUUAUGCUGUAAAUUUUGGGAUUUCAUACAUUUUAUGGCAUUGAAUUAGUUAAGAUAGAAAUUUUAAUUUAGAGUAAUUUUUUAUGAAUUUUUAAUUGAGUAAUUUUUUUAUAGGAUUUUGUAGAAAAUUUUUCAGGUAAUUCUUAUUUCAAUAUAUUUUGUUCCCACUCAGCAAUUUGAAGGAAACACAUUUCUAGACAAAGACAUUUUAUGUUCCUGUUUUCAUUCCACAUACCAAAGCAACCCAAGGUCUAGGUAAUUUACAUGGGAAGAUAAGUGCCAGAAAGAAUACAAGGCAUGAGUGCACAGUAACUGGAAGAACAUAAAAUCUUAAGUGUUGAUUCUUAAGUUUCUUUGGAUAGGGUAGAAGAUUCAGGAAGAAAAACAAGAUAAGCCACACUAGAUAAAUCUCCUUCCCCUCCAAUUAAAUGCUAAGUCACUAACUAGAUAUGGUCAUGAUCAUACAGCACAAGACUCCAUCUUUUGUGCUAUAAGUCAAUGACCACAUGUUCCAUGUGUGUGCAUGUCUGCAUGAUACAUCAAUGUGAAGAUAUUCAAAACUUAUAUCUGAUAAAACAGGAGACAAGAAAAGAAACGAGGAAAUCCACUUACCUUUGCACGAAGGCAAGAAGUGAUUGGUGCCAUAUUACAGGCAUUAUUCUUGUGUCUUCGAGAAAUCUCAUAAAAUGAGAAACAACAGCAUCAAGUACACGAUAUGGCAAGGCAUAUUUCUUUUCCAAAAGAAGCUUGAUAAAAUAACUUGUUGUGCCACAAUACUCCAUCUCCGCAAGCUUCAAUAGUGCAGCACUUGAAUGAAGCAUGGGAAUGGAAACCUUUUGAAUAAUACUUCCAACAAUAACGGCCUCCCGAAGAUUGCAUGUCCCUGACUUACAUAGUGGAAACAAUAUUCCCUUGUUGAAUGCAGCAGGUUUGUAAAGAGAUUUUUUCAAAGCUUGAUACAGAGCAAAAUGCAGCCUCUUGUUCUGUUUAAUAUCGUCUCUGAUUCGAGGAAGCAAUACAAGCCUAUAGAAAUUCUCUGCCUUCUUCACACCCAAAUUGGAAGCAAAGAUCCUUGUUGCUUGAUACAUUGCAUUUGGUGACCAACUCUCAGGUUUAGUCAAGUACAAAACAUCCUCCCAAAGUUGCAUUGAAGGGAUAUGCUUAAAUGCUUUAGGCAUUUUUCCAGCUGUAUAUCUACUUAGAAACUCGCCAAGCCCCUUGUACAAAUCUAUGAGAGAUGCAUCCAAUUUUGGCAUGGGUUGUGUUUCUGAAGAAAUAUUAGCAUUCUCCUGUUUAAUUUUUUCAAUGAUGAGGUCUGCAAGUGUACGCUGAGGACCAGCUUCCUUUGAUAAGAAAGCCUCCAGUAAUUUCUCCUCAUCCUCAUCAAUCUCCUCGUCACCAAACUGGGUUUGAGUCUCAGAGAAUCCACUAAAAUCAUCAACAUCAUCCUCCUCUUCUUGUUGAUGCCUAGCAGCUUCUUCCUCUGCCACAACAAAGGCAUUGGUAGUAGGAUUAGCCUGCUCAGCCUCCUCUUGAAUCUCCUUUUGCUGAAUCAGCGCCUCUUUCAAAAUUUUCGAGCUUAUCCCCGAAGAUAUCAUCGUUUCUUGCUUUUGGUGGUGUUUUGCUGCUUUGGAUCGUUUCCUAGUAGAGGCAAUGGAGUCAUUAUCUUCUGGGAUAAAGGGCUUGGGGUUUUGGUGUCUACCUCGCUUCUUGUCCAUUUAGACGCCUAAAAGACUGCAGUGAAGAGCGGCGAGCUUGAGGUUGAAGGUCGUUUGUGUAGAGGCGAAAGCCGAGACUGAGAUGAGAGAGAGGUUG
RNAcentral lists this unclassified non-coding RNA (4052 nucleotides) under Hevea brasiliensis (rubber tree). The record is from RNAcentral. Lineage: Eukaryota; Viridiplantae; Streptophyta; Magnoliopsida; Malpighiales; Euphorbiaceae.